This is a long non-coding RNA of Dreissena polymorpha, 735 nucleotides long. RefSeq lists it as uncharacterized. The record is from RefSeq and is a predicted model, not a curated record. NCBI's taxonomy places the organism in Eukaryota, Metazoa, Mollusca, Bivalvia, Myida, Dreissenidae. The transcript has 3 exons.
UGUUCAUUUGAUUACAAUUUAUUUAUUUGUCAAAUUCAAUUCUGCAGUGCUAUAAAUAUGCACCCCCCAUCCAAAAAAUUUAUUUCGUGCAUAUUGAUGGGGCUUUUUUAUUUAUUUACUCCUUGUCUGCAUUCCUCCCUUUUGUGUUGGUAAUGUGAACAUGAAAUGAUGAGCACUCUCAUGUUAAUGAAUAACUUUUAUUUUUUAUAGAUUUUGGCAUAUUGCAUAUUGCCAAGGGAGAUGUUUACUGAGGAUUCCAUGCCAUUAAUGUGCAGGCUGUUGCUGACGCCAGCAUGAGCAAUAUCUGAGCACCAAUGAUGAGGGUCAUCUGCUGGGAGAUAGUGGGUAUCCAUUAAGGACUAACCUGAUGACCCCUUAACCUCAUCCCUCCCAUGCUGCGGAACAGGCCUACAAUGACCAUCUAUGUAGAGGAUAUCUGCAUGCCACUGGUGGAUGUUGGCCUUUCAAGUCCAAUAAGUGCUGUGAAAUAUCAACUGUGUACAUGCCCCUGCAUAACCUGUGUCUGGAUUCAAAUGUUCCACUGAUGGAGGAAUUGGUUGGAAACGUGAUGGAACCGGAAGUUAUGAACAACACACCAGUACAUCGAGCAGCAUGUGAUAAGAGGCAGCAGCUGAUCAAACUGUUUCAUCAAAAAUGUAAAAAAAUUAUAGUUAUAAAUGUUAUAAAGUGAUAGAUGGCUCGAGUCUUCUCUGAAUAGGCAGAGCUACACUACUC